AGCGAACGCUGGCGGCAGGCUUAACACAUGCAAGUCGAACGGGCAUCUUCGGAUUUCAGUGGCAGACGGGUGAGUAACACGUGGGAACGUACCCUUCGGUUCGGAAUAACUCAGUGAAACUUGAUCUAAUACCGGAUACGCCCUUUUGGUGAAAGGUUUACUUCCGAAGGAUCGGCGCGCAUCUGAUUAGCUUGUUGGUUGGGUAACGGCCUACCAAGGCGGCGAUCAGUAGCUGGUCUGAGAGGAUGAUCAGCCACACUGGGACUGAGACACGGACCAGACUCCUACGGGAGGCAGCAGUGGGGAAUAUAGGACAAGGGGCGCAAGCGUGAUACAGCCAUGCCGCGGGAGUGAUGAAGGCCUUAGGGUUGUAAAGCUCUUUUGUACGGGACGAUAAUGACGGUACCGGAAGAAUAAGCCCCGGCUAACUUCGUG
This 435-nucleotide ribosomal RNA is filed under the name uncultured bacterium. RNAcentral describes it as "partial 16S ribosomal RNA". It matches the Rfam family "Bacterial small subunit ribosomal RNA", at positions 29 to 507 of the family's 1533-position model. The record is from RNAcentral.